RNAcentral lists this ribosomal RNA (254 nucleotides) under uncultured bacterium. RNAcentral describes it as "partial 16S ribosomal RNA". It matches the Rfam family "Bacterial small subunit ribosomal RNA", at positions 524 to 776 of the family's 1533-position model. The record is from RNAcentral.
GACGAACCGUGCAAACGUUGUUCGGAAUCACUGGGCUUAAAGGGCGCGUAGGCGGGUCGGCACGUCUGCGGGUGAAAGACCACAGCUCAACUGUGGCAGGGCCCCAGAUACGGCGGAUCUAGAGGGAGGUAGGGGUCUGUGGAACACCAAGUGGAGCGGUGAAAUGCGUUGAGAUUUGGUGGAACUCCGGUGGCGAAGGCGACAGGCUGGACCUCAACUGACGCUGAGGCGCGAAAGCUAGGGGAGUGAACGGG